UGUCGCUCAGGAUCGCCUCGGUGGUGCCGGGGCUGCGCUACGCCCUGCGCCGGGCGGCCGGCUCCUCCUGCAGCCGCCUCCAGGAGCACCUCCAGGAGUAUGCAGAGCUCCGGGAGAGCCGCCGGGCCAUUCCCGGUGUCCCCGUCCCCUCUGGGUGCCAGGACGGCGACGCCGGCCCUUCCCGGGGAUUCUCGGAGCGAUCCCUGGCCCAGCUGCGCCGUUACCUGUCCGACCCCGGCAGCUUCACCCUGGGGGUGUCGGCAGCCCUGCAGUGCCUGCGUGGGGCUGCCGGGAACGUGGGCGACAAUCCCGGCAAUUCCUCCUCCUCCUCCUCUUCCUCCGAGCCCCCGGGCGCUGCUCCUUGCACCAGAUCAGCGGGAGCCGUGCGGGAUGAGAGAGAGCUUCCAGAGGGAUCCCUGAAAAGCGUCACCUCUCGCAGCAAGCCCUGGGGCCGGGAGCUGCGGAGGAAAUCCAGCAGGAUCCCGGGGAAGGGCCCUGCAGCCCCCACGGCACAGAGCCCUCCUGGCCAGGGCAGCAGCAGGAGCAGGGAGGCAGCCAAGAAGAAAACCAGCGGCGCCUCCUCUUCUCCCGAAAAAUCGGGAUCCGCUGGAAAUCCCACCGAGCCCAUGCUGAAAUUGGCCAAUCUGCGGUUGCCACAUGGGAGGAAAAGAGGUGCAGAGGUCCUGGCUGCAGAAAUUGUCCACAAACCGCAGUGUGAAGGGGCUGAGGAGGAGAAGGAGAGCUCAGCUCCCAAUGGUCCUGCUGUGGAGGCAAAGAGGCCCAAAACCCUGGAAAACCUGGACACCAAGAGGGUUCCUGUCCCUGACAGUGGCACCACAAAGCCAGGGAAAAGCAAAACGCAGAAAAACGUGGAAAGCAGAGCAGCAAAACCUCAGGAGAAGCAGCAGGAAGAGAGUGGUGAGAAAAAAUUCCCUUGGGAAAAAAUUCCUUUAAAAGCUGAGCCAUCCAAUGGCAGGGAGGAAACAAAUGGCUUUGGAUUGAAAUGGGGAAAAUGUCAAAUAUUGGGGAGAAAUUCUGGGGUGGAAUUCCCAGAGAAUCCUCCUGGAUCCCUGGGAAUGUCCGAG
RNAcentral lists this long non-coding RNA (1085 nucleotides) under Junco hyemalis (dark-eyed junco). Its description in RNAcentral is "lncRNA (ENSJHYG00000017400.1)". The record is from RNAcentral. Lineage: Eukaryota; Metazoa; Chordata; Aves; Passeriformes; Passerellidae.